AAAAUUGUGAAAAGCCAACAAAUAUGCACGUGAAGUGUUGUCAAAACACGGCAUUAUGACGUCAUACAACACAAAAAAAUUUUUUUUUCAUAAAAUGAAUAUGUUCAACGGAAAAAGAAAUCCAUACACAUACGAAUAAGUAGAAUUUGAUAAAUUCUCGAAAUUGAGGCCAAUUUUGCCCCUUAUAGCCCCUUCUCCUUUACUUGAUAAUACUCGACUGUAGUCUGAACCAUACUUAACAGUCUGAAUUUGUACUUGACCAGUUCUUAACCAUUUUAUACGAGUCUGAACCAUGCUCGACCUAGUCUGAACCAUACUCGACCUAGUCGGAACCGU
This 336-nucleotide long non-coding RNA is filed under the name Mytilus galloprovincialis (Mediterranean mussel). The record is from RNAcentral. Lineage: Eukaryota; Metazoa; Mollusca; Bivalvia; Mytilida; Mytilidae.